Potamilus streckersoni is the source of this 73-nucleotide non-coding RNA. NCBI's taxonomy places the organism in Eukaryota, Metazoa, Mollusca, Bivalvia, Unionida, Unionidae. The record is from the annotation of a GenBank genome assembly.
GGUGGCCUAGUGGUUAGAGCAACCGCCUCGGAUGUGAGAGGUCGUGGGUUCGAUCCCCUGUCGAAUUAUACCA